Molecule: non-coding RNA, 1933 nt
Organism: Paramormyrops kingsleyae
Lineage: Eukaryota; Metazoa; Chordata; Actinopteri; Osteoglossiformes; Mormyridae
Source: RefSeq, a predicted model, not a curated record
UACACACCAGGGCUGCCAAAACGAAUCCCUAGUACAUGCAGUCGUUCCUGCCCUGUGUGUAGCUGUGAGACUGACUGACCGUCUGUGUGUGUUUCUGCUCGUGUCUCCAGGUCACGGCCCCGUGGUCCAGGAUGCUCUCGGUAAGAUCCAGCAGUACAUCGCGCACAGGCAGCUCCGUGAGCAGCAGAUCCUGGCUGCCCUGCAGGCGGGAGCCGGCAAAUCUUUUACCGCCGCUGAGCUUGUCAAGCUGAUCUAUAAGGAGACACCUCCACAUCUACACGGGGCGGCCGAGGUGAACCUCCUGCAUCACCUAAAUAAGUUGGAGAAGGAGGGCAAGAUUGGCCGUGCGAGCGGCGCGUCCGAAAGCUGCAGGUGGAGGAGCAGUUUGUGAGCACUUCAGCAGCGUCUGCAGCAGUCUACGUCAGUUCCAGGGAGCGUCCAUCUUCAGGCCUGUCACCCUCUGCUAAAGCACAUCACCUACUGGGCAUCUUUCCAUUCGGGUUCAGGCAGAUGUUUGCCGUUUAGCCUGGAUGGUUGAUGACUUUACUCCACUGUGGUCUGAUGUUCGCUUUGCUCCUGCGAGUGUUUGUCAGAAGGUCUGAUGCCACAGGAUAAUUUUUAAACACAAAGUAUGACCUUUAUAAUAUUAACCCGGUAUUUUCAUAGGUCAGGUUCACUUGGCUCACAUGACAUGAAAAGAUGCAUCUCUUUAUGGAUUUCAGCCCUUUUUUUAGACAGGAUGGGAUCAGAUUGUUUAAUAAACAUGGUAAUUGGUAAAUAAUCCUCAGAGCUGUAAAUCCACUAAUAAUUUUUUGAAGGUAAAGGAAGUUCAACAGUCAAAAACACUUGUAAAUCCUAAAAUGACGGACUUGUUCCGGUUUGUUCUGAGCAUGUCUGCACCAGUCUGUCUGGCGCACCGUUGCCUGGCUACAUUUAAACACGAGACGUGAUUGCUCGAUAAUGGUAGUCUGGGCUGAAUGUAAGUGAAUGGAGAAAGUACAUUUAAACCGGGGCACCCUGAACUAAGCACAGAACUUGGGCCUGUAUGGAUUUCAUGCUUAGUCGCUUAACCUUUUGUAUUUCAGGUUCCCCAGUUUAAAUGGACUUUUUCUUCGUUCACUUACAUUUAGCCCAGACUGCCUUAAUUAUCCAUCUUAGGUUAAUUCUAGGUUAUUUUCCAGGCUCUGACUGACAGCUAUAGGCUAGUAAAUAGCUGAGACCCUCCUUCCUAGUUCCGGGAAAAUGGCGGCAUGUUUAUAAUCCCCAAGCGGCGUCUCUGAGGGCGUCAGUCCGAGCCAGCCACAGGAUAGGAGGACUCAGACAAAUGGAAUAUCAUUGAAAGAAAACAAAUUCCAGAGACUACAGAAUAUAGAUAUGUUUUUAGGAUUUCAGAGCCCAAAACCAAACCGAAGCUAAAUUCAUAUAAUAAACGUUAGCGGUUAUCAUUAGCUUCCGCUAAAUAAUUUUUAGUGGUUUACCAGUUUAUCGAAUUAAACUUUGGAGAUAGCGGUUAUCAAAACUGUGCCCACCACUGAUAUUCUGUACACCCACAGUAAAUACAUCUUAUUGGGGUACAGUGCACUAAUGCACUGCAGAUAGCCUGGGCCAUAGGCCAGCCAGGGACCCCCGACAACUUUUCAGUGCUCAGACCUUUUAUUGUUCCUGCACUGGAGCUUGAAUUAAUGGAGGCAGAAAAAUCAUAUGUUUGCAUAGAUAUGGAAAUCACUGCAUCGGUGCAUUAGUAAUGACCAUUUAAACAUGUAUAUUUUUGUAAAUUGAGUCUGUUUAUGUGAUAUGACAAAUAUAAUGUAUGAUAUUAAAGAUAUCAAAAUGUGUGUUUUUCAUGAAAAACACUGGAGUGGAGAAACAACAAAAAAUCGUUUCCUUUUUUUUUCUUUUAUUGCAGUAAAUAAAACCAUGCUUUGUCCCCUGA